GACGAACGCUGGCGGCGUGCCUAAUACAUGCAAGUUGAGCGAUGAAGAUUGGUGCUUGCCCCAAUUUGAAGAGCAGCGAACGGGUGAGUAACGCGUGGGGAAUCUGCCUUUGAGCGGGGGACAACAUUUGGAAACGAAUGCUAAUACCGCAUAACAACUUUAAACAUAAGUUUUAAGUUUGAAAGAUGCAAUUGCAUCACUCAAAGAUGAUCCCGCGUUGUAUUAGCUAGUUGGUGAGGUAAAGGCUCACCAAGGCGAUGAUACAUAGCCGACCUGAGAGGGUGAUCGGCCACAUUGGGACUGAGACACGGCCCAAACGCCUACGGGAGGCAGCAGUAGGGAAUCUUCGGCAAUGGACGAAAGUCUGACCGAGCAACGCCGCGGGAGUGAAGAAGGGUUUCGGAUCGUAAAACUCUGUUGGUAGAGAAGAACGUUGGUGAGAGUGGAAAGCUCAUCAAGUGACGGUAACUACCCAGAAAGGGGCGGCUAACUACGUG
Molecule: ribosomal RNA, 497 nt
Filed under: uncultured bacterium
Lineage: Bacteria
Description: partial 16S ribosomal RNA
Rfam family: Bacterial small subunit ribosomal RNA
Source: RNAcentral